UGGGUUUGGGAGUUGGUUAUUUUGGGGUUUUUUUUUUUUGGGGGGGGGGGGACUCGGAGGGAUCAUUACCGAGUUUACAACUCCCAAACCCAAUGUGAACGUUACCAAACUGUUGCCUCGGCGGGAUCUCUGCCCCGGGUGCGUCGCAGCCCCGGACCAAGGCGCCCGCCGGAGGACCAACCAAAACUCUUAUUGUAUACCCCCUCGCGGGUUUUUUUAUAAUCUGAGCCUUCUCGGCGCCUCUCGUAGGCGUUUCGAAAAUGAAUCAAAACUUUCAACAACGGAUCUCUUGGUUCUGGCAUCGAUGAAGAACGCAGCGAAAUGCGAUAAGUAAUGUGAAUUGCAGAAUUCAGUGAAUCAUCGAAUCUUUGAACGCACAUUGCGCCCGCCAGUAUUCUGGCGGGCAUGCCUGUCCGAGCGUCAUUUCAACCCUCGAACCCCUCCGGGGGGUCGGCGUUGGGGAUCGGCCCUGCCUUGGCGGUGGCCGUCUCCGAAAUACAGUGGCGGUCUCGCCGCAGCCUCUCCUGCGCAGUAGUUUGCACACUCGCAUCGGGAGCGCGGCGCGUCCACAGCCGUUAAACACCCAACUUCUGAAAUGUGACCUCGGAUCAGGUAGGAACCCCCAUU
RNAcentral lists this ribosomal RNA (627 nucleotides) under Trichoderma harzianum. RNAcentral's name for it is "eukaryotic LSU rRNA". The stretch from base 270 to 423 matches the Rfam family "5.8S ribosomal RNA". Lineage: Eukaryota; Fungi; Ascomycota; Sordariomycetes; Hypocreales; Hypocreaceae. The record is from RNAcentral.